Long non-coding RNA from Equus quagga, 3177 nucleotides. RefSeq lists it as uncharacterized. Lineage: Eukaryota; Metazoa; Chordata; Mammalia; Perissodactyla; Equidae. The record is from RefSeq and is a predicted model, not a curated record. The transcript is spliced from 3 exons.
CCUAAGUGUGAGAUCAUGCUUCUGCAGGAAGACUUGCCAGACCAUCUUUGGGAUGGGUAUCGCUGUGAUGGAAGGGACAGGAAGACAGUGAUCAAAAGGUUGGCAAGAUGGGAAGCAACGAGCUUAUUUCCAAGCAGGGAAAUCAACAGUGCCACAUCAAACUAAGAAGGAGGAAAUCCAGCCAGCUAAGCAGGUCACACGGUUCCCACACACAGCAGAUCUCUUCUCUGGCUGGAGCCCAGGCUACUAGAAAGAGUGUCUCCUGAAACAACCAGGUGUGGGGAGAGCCCCGAAAUGACUAGACAUACAUGGCUCACCUGUUGAACUAACCCCAUUGAAAUAGAUGCUGGAUCAUUAUCAGGGAGAGGAGCUGCCUAGGAAAAUGGCACUCUCCAGGGAGGACAUAAGCUACUUUUGUAGUUUCAUGCAAAAGAAGAUGUGUGAAUAACAAGUAGUAAGAAGGACAAUAACAAUGGCUGGAGAGACGAACUAAGCUGAAUGUCACUGGAAUUUGGCAAGUCCUCCAAGCUUUAGGGCUGGUGCGAUGCUGUGUCUUAUUGCAUCACUUAAUCAUCCAAUAAAUUGUUAAAGAAAUAUUUAUCGAGGGCCAAGUAUGUCCAAGGCUGUGGGGAUAAUGGAAAGCUGCUCUCAUGGAACCUACGUUCUAGGAUAUGGGAAGAUAGACAAUAAUGAAAUAUAUAAAUACAUGAUUUGUUAAAUAGUGAUAAGUUCUAUGAAGCAAAAAGAAGCUGGUUAAGGUGAAUAAAAAAGCUGCAGGGGACACAGAUUUGUAUAAGAAGGUUAGAUAAGUCCCCUCUAAUAAAGUGACAUUUGAACAAAGGCCUAAAAGAAGUGAGCGAGCGAGCCAGACAACCAGGAGAGGUCACUCCAGGGAGAGACAACAGCCUUUGUAAAAGCCCUGAUGCUGAAAGUGCUUGGUGUGUUUAGGGAACACUAAGGAAACAGUGUGGCUACAGAGAAAGGAGGGAGGGGAGCAAUGGGUGAUAGGGACAGAGACGCUGUGGUGGCGGGCAGAUAAUAUAGGAUUCAAACCCUUAGGACGCUGUAAGGACUUUUACCUUAUACUCUAGAGGAAAUGAGAAGCCACUAGAAAACUUGGCUGCUGUACAGAAAAGAAACAAGAGUGAAAACAGAAGGAGAAAAAUUCCAGUUAGGAGGCCAGUGCAAUAAUCCAAGAGAGAAAUAGACCAGGAUGGUAGCAGUGCAGGUAGUGAGGAGUGUUGGAUGUUGUGUGUGCAAGAAAGACAGUUGUGAAGGGCGAGGCCAAGAUGCUUUAGGCCUACGAGACUGGAAAAAUGGAGGUACCAUUAACUGAGAUGGGGAGGAGCAGGUUGGGAGAUGUUUUAGAUAUUAAAUAAGCAUCACAUACCAUCACCUUCCUUUGCUAAGACCCCUUAGUCUGUGCCAGAGCUCUCUUACUUAAUAGGAUGAGCCAUACACUGUCUGGCCUCGACCUCUGCUCAGAUUGUUUUCAUCUCUUGAAAUGUUGUCUCCUAUUGCAUUCCUUUAACGUCUUGGCUUAGACAUAGGGUAUCUCAUUGGCCAAGUUCCCCACAUCAUGGAGAUAGUGUAAAUAUACAGGGGUAGGGAGGUUGUGUCUUUCUUAACAGGAUGUGAGAAUUUGAUUGACAUUCAUCUUCUCCACUGCUGCGCAGUCCCUUGGGAGCAGUGACUGUGUCUGUCUCCUUCUGCAGUAUUCCUAGGACCAAGCACAGUGCCUGACUUGCAGUUGGCACUCAGUAACUAGCAAAUGGGUGAAGGAAUGAAAGCGUGAAGUGAUUCCCACCAACCACUCCCUGUGGUAGGAACUGGGCCAACUGAAACUCUGCUUCCACAGCCUUUUGCACCAGGUCAGAAGCCGAUGAACUGCACCACAGGAAUGACCCGUGUAGAUGCGCUAGAGUUGGUGCCUUCUCGUUCCCUUUGGCUCAGGUCAGACCUUCACGUCAAUGCAAGGUUAUCAAAUGCUGAUGUUAAUUUUACUAUUACAAAAUUUAGGAGAAUUCAAAGAAAAUGUCUUUAUGAAAUAAAAUAUUUUAGAUUUAUUUCCUCAAUUUUAGAUGGCACUAUGGCUGCCUAAUCUCAAGUUUUCCAUACAUGUCAAUUUGAAAAUUUAUUCUAGGGUUCUUCUUUGGUCUCACCCAACCCACCAGAACAUCCUAGCUGUACAGUUUGCACCCCUGAUGUCACAUCGUGAGAUUCUCGUCCUCAUGCUGGUUUUAUCCUCAGUCAGAGCAGCUUGCAGCCUGUGCUUUACAGCAGCAAGAUCCUACAACCCACUCCACAUGGCACAAGCUGAACUUCAUGCUCAAAAUCCCACCACUAAGAGGCAUUUCUCUGCAUUGACUUUCCCUUUCAGAGCCCCUUCCAUAAGAUGGCUUAGUGAAAGAAGCCAUUCUUUUCUAUUAAUAUUUUAUCAGAGUGGAAUGAUCUCUAUGCGACUCCCUACACCUGGGAGCGGAUGGGUCAUAUAAGGAAGGGCAUUUAAGAUAGAGAUUUGGAGUGGGAUCCUGAAGAGGCAGUAAGAGAGCAACAAAGAGGGACCUCACCACGUCCCAGUGGCAGCUCAGCUGCCGUAAGAUCCAGGUAUAGGCAGCAAAAAGUGUGAGUGCUGGUUUUUUUAAAAACCUCCAUCCUGCUGCACAGAGGUGAGGGCGUAGGAGGAAAGCUGUAUCUGUGGUAGACACAUUGGCCAACCAUGGCCCAAACUUUAUCCGAGAAAAAAUGGUUCUGUAGUCAAAUAAGUUGUGGAUUUUCUGCUUAUCGUAUCUCUAUCUUGGAUAUUUACAAUAAGCAUUAGCAGGUUAGAUGCUGGGAGAGUCUUAGAUUUUAGAAAUCUGUUUGACCUUGUUUAGUAUAGCAUUUUUACAAACCUAUUUUCUCUUGCUAAACAUCUUUGGGAACACGGCAUCUGUGGAACAGAACUUAUAAGAGACAGAGCUCAUUUGCUUUACCUGGAAGUUAAUGGUAUGAGAGAAGGGAGGUCGCCGGAUAUACUGAAGAGCACAGUCUUGACAGGGUUCAGAGACCCAGGUUCAAAUCCUCCACUAACCUACUUACUGGCUUUGUGGCCUCGGUGAGUUAUUUAACCUCUCUGUGCCUCUGUAAAUUGAAGAUCUAAUUUGUUUAUUGUUCUAAUGCAUGUCAUAUAUCUAG